This 111-nucleotide ribosomal RNA is filed under the name Caerostris darwini. The record is from RNAcentral. Lineage: Eukaryota; Metazoa; Arthropoda; Arachnida; Araneae; Araneidae.
ACGGCCAUACCAUGCUGAAUAUUUCGGUUCUCGUUAGAUCACCGAAGUCAAGCAUCAUUGGGCGCGGUCAGUACUUGGGUGGGUGACCACCUGGGAACACCGCGUGCCGUU